UUGAACGCUGGCGGCAUGCCUAACACAUGCAAGUCGAACGGUAACGCGGGGGCAACCCUGGCGACGAGUGGCGGACGGGUGAGUAAUACGUAGGAAUCUGCCCAGUAGCGGGGGAUAACUUAGGGAAACUUAAGCUAAUACCGCAUACGCCCCACGGGGGAAAGCAGGGGAUCGCAAGACCUUGCACUAUUGGAUGAGCCUACGUCGGAUUAGCUAGUUGGUGGGGUAAAGGCCUACCAAGGCGACGAUCCGUAGCUGGUCUGAGAGGACGAUCAGCCACACUGGGACUGAGACACGGCCCAGACUCCUACGGGAGGCAGCAGUGGGGAAUAUUGGACAAUGGGGGCAACCCUGAUCCAGCAAUGCCGCGUGUGUGAAGAAGGCCUGCGGGUUGUAAAGCACUUUCGAUGGGAAAGAAAAGCUUGGGGCUAAUAUCCUCAAGUAUUGACGUUACCCAGAGAAGAAGCACCGGCUAACUCUGU
RNAcentral lists this ribosomal RNA (482 nucleotides) under uncultured bacterium. Its description in RNAcentral is "bacterial SSU rRNA". It matches the Rfam family "Bacterial small subunit ribosomal RNA", at positions 30 to 506 of the family's 1533-position model. The record is from RNAcentral.